Molecule: ribosomal RNA, 516 nt
Filed under: Candona bimucronata
Lineage: Eukaryota; Metazoa; Arthropoda; Ostracoda; Podocopida; Candonidae
Description: partial large subunit ribosomal RNA
Rfam family: Bacterial large subunit ribosomal RNA
Source: RNAcentral
CGCCUGUUUAACAAAAACAUUUUCUUUAGAUUUAGUUUAAAGAUAAGGCCUGCUCAAUGAAAUAUUUAAAUGGCCGCAGUAUCAUGACUGUGCUAAGGUAGCAUAAUAAUUUGCCUUUUAAUUGGGGGCUGGAAUGAAAGGUUUUAUGGAAAAUAGCUGUUUUAAAAGAAAAAUUUGAAUUUAAGGUUUGUAUAAAAACUUGCAAAAGCUCUCAAGGGACGAGAAGACCCUGUGGAUUUUUAUUUAUUAAAAAGUAAAUUUUAUAAUAUUUUAUUUUUUAUUUAAAUUUGGUUGGGACGACAGCAUAGUUAACUAGCGAAAGUUGGAUAUAGUGACCCUAUUUAAGGUAAAAAGAACAAAUUACCCCAGGGAUAACAGCGUAAUACUUUUGGACAGGACAAAUGGAUAAAAGUGUUUGCGACCUCGAUGUUGAAUUAAAAUAUCUUUGUUAAGUAUAAAUAACAAAAGUAAGUCUGUUCCACUUUUAAAAUUUUACGUGAUCUGAGUUCAGACCGG